This 224-nucleotide long non-coding RNA is filed under the name Elaeis guineensis (African oil palm). RNAcentral's name for it is "long non-coding RNA (EGUI_LNC045513)". The record is from RNAcentral. Lineage: Eukaryota; Viridiplantae; Streptophyta; Magnoliopsida; Arecales; Arecaceae.
CUUUCAGCAACCCCUUUCUACCGAACUGGGGGGAGAAGUAUCACCAGUCCUUUGCCGAAGGGUGACGCUUAAAGGUAUAAAUAUUUCUAAACGAGGGAAGAGUUGGCCGGACUUCAGCUAAAUGAUAGAGAGAAAGAAAUCCUAUCAGAAACCUAAAGGAGUUCAGCGCUACAAAAACUAGAGAAAUGUUUGAAAAGCGAAAAAGAGCAAUUACAAAAGGUGGG